GACGAACGCUGGCGGCGUGCCUAAUACAUGCAAGUCGAGCGGACGGAUGGGAGCUUGCUCCCAGACCGUCAGCGGCGGACGGGUGAGUAACACGUGGGCAACCUGCCUGUAAGACUGGGAUAACUCCGGGAAACCGGGGCUAAUACCGGAUAACUCUUUCCCUCACAUGAGGGAAAGCUGAAAGAUGGCAUCUCGCUAUCACUUACAGAUGUGCCCGCGGCGCAUUAGCUAGUUGGUGAGGUAACGGCUCACCAAGGCGACGAUGCGUAGCCGACCUGAGAGGGUGAUCGGCCACACUGGGACUGAGACACGGCCCAGACUCCUACGGGAGGCAGCAGUAGGGAAUCUUCCGCAAUGGACGAAAGUCUGACGGAGCAACGCCGCGUGAGUGAUGAAGGUUUUCGGAUCGUAAAACUCUGUUGUCAGGGAAGAACAAGUACCGGAGUAACUGCCGGUACCUUGACGGUACCUGACCAGAAAGCCACGGCUAACUGCGUG
RNAcentral lists this ribosomal RNA (498 nucleotides) under uncultured bacterium. RNAcentral's name for it is "partial 16S ribosomal RNA". It matches the Rfam family "Bacterial small subunit ribosomal RNA", at positions 28 to 507 of the family's 1533-position model. The record is from RNAcentral.